ACUGGGCGUGGUGGCCCAUGCCUGUAAUCACAGAGAUCUGAGAGGUUGAGGCAGGAGGAUUGUGAGUUCAAAGCCAGCCUCAGUAAAAGCAAGGCGCCAAGCAACUCAGUGAGACCCUGUCUCUA
RNAcentral lists this small RNA (125 nucleotides) under Marmota monax (woodchuck). The record is from RNAcentral. Lineage: Eukaryota; Metazoa; Chordata; Mammalia; Rodentia; Sciuridae.